This 1233-nucleotide long non-coding RNA is filed under the name Marmota monax (woodchuck). Lineage: Eukaryota; Metazoa; Chordata; Mammalia; Rodentia; Sciuridae. The record is from RNAcentral.
CACAUCCCCAGCCCUAAGUUCAGUAUUAUUGACAUAAAAAGGGAUAUAGACUAUCUUGUAAAAUUGUCACUAAAUUGGAAAAAAAUGGUAAUUGACAUGAAAUAUUUUUAAAGCCAUGGAUCUGAUAAGGGGAAAAAUAUAGCAGGGAUUUAUAUAAGGAUGAAAAAGUCAUUAUUUAUUCCACUAAAUAAUUAUGCCACAUAAUUUUAUAAUAUUAAUAUGGAAAAAUUCUGUUUCUAUGACUUCAAAUAGAGCUUCUUUUAGUAUUGCACAAAGGAUAUAUAAUGGUGAAUUCAUUAAACAGAUGGACUAUUAUGCUUGUUCUAAAAGCUACUUUAAAAACACAAUUGGCAGGGGAUGGGGAUGUGACUCAAUCGGCAUGCGCGGGGUGCUGGGUUCGAUCCUCAGCACCACAUAAAAUAAAAUAAAGAUGUUGUGUCCACCGAAAACUAAAAAUAAAUAUUAAAAAAUUCUCUCUCUCUCUCUCUCUCUCUCUCUCUCUCUCUCUCUCUCUCUUUAAAACAAAAACAAAAACAAAAACAUGUGGCAGGACACUGCGGCGCACACCUAUAAUCCCAGCAGUUUGUGAGACAGGGGACAGGAGAAUUGAGAGUUCAAAGCCAGCCUCAGCAACUCAGUGGAAUCCCCUAAAUAAAAUCAAAAUAGGGCUGGGGAUGUGGUCGAGUACCCCUGAGUUCAAUCCCAGGAACCAAAAAAUUAAAAUAAAAAAUAAAACACGUGAAUCCUGACAGGCAUCAAGAUCAAAUAUAAUCAAGGCACUUCAACAAUUAAAGAUAUUUGUCAAAUAUUAAAAGAUAUAAUAUCAAAUGACACAUUAUAAUAUCCUGAAAUAGAAAGCCUCUUGGUGCAAAUAGAUUACAAAUUUUUAUGCAACUUCUCUUUAUGGGAUGAUAUUUUGAAUCAGAUAGAAAAAGUUAAUAAAGGUUUAUAAUUAAAAAAUGACUACAUACAAAACUGCAUGCUUAAUAAUAAAUAGGCUUAUCCUUUUGCUAAUAGCAAAUGAAAGUAACUCUGAAAUUGAUUAAUGUAAAACUUUAGCAAGAAAGAUGAAUGUACUUGAACAAAAAAGAAAAAAUUAGAAAUGAACAAAUCACCAGAUGAGUUUAUCAAUUAUUGUGGUAAAAGUGUUUAUCAACUAGAAAUUAAAGAGAUUAUAUCUAGAGAUGGAGAUAUGAAAAAUCAAAUGAAGUGUAUUCAGAUUUUGAAUUAUUA